RNAcentral lists this ribosomal RNA (305 nucleotides) under uncultured bacterium. RNAcentral describes it as "bacterial SSU rRNA". It matches the Rfam family "Bacterial small subunit ribosomal RNA", at positions 335 to 658 of the family's 1533-position model. The record is from RNAcentral.
ACACCUACGGGACGCAGCAGUGGGGGAUAUUGCACAAUGGAGGAAACUCUGAUGCAGCGACGCCGCGUGAGGGAAGACGGUCUUCGGACUGUAAACCUCUGUCUUUGGGGAAGAAAAUGACGGUAUCCUAAGAGGAAGCUCCGGCUAUCUACGUGCCAGCAGCCGCGGUAAUACGUAGGGAGCGAGCGUUGUCCGGAAUUACUGGGUGUAAAGGGAGCGUAGGCGGGCGAGAAAGUUGAAUGUUAAAUCUACCGGCUUAACUGGUAGCUGCGUUCAAAACUUCUUGUCUUGAGUGAAGAAGAGGG